AGCGAACGCUGGCGGCAGGCCUAAUACAUGCAAGUCGAACGGUCUCUUCGGAGGCAGUGGCGGACGGGUGAGUAACGCGUGGGAACGUGCCCUUUGGUACGGAACAACUGAGGGAAACUUCAGCUAAUACCGUAUGUGCCCCUUCGGGGGAAAGAUUUAUCGCCAUUGGAGCGGCCCGCGUUGGAUUAGCUAGUUGGUGGGGUAAUGGCCCACCAAGGCGACGAUCCAUAGCUGGUCUGAGAGGAUGAUCAGCCACACUGGGACUGAGACACGGCCCAGACUCCUACGGGAGGCAGCAGUAGGGAAUCUUGCGCAAUGGGCGAAAGCCUGACGCAGCCAUGCCGCGUGAAUGAUGAAGGUCUUAGGAUUGUAAAAUUCUUUCACCGGGGACGGAUAAUGACGGUACCCGGAGAAGAAGCCCCGGCUAACUUCGUGCCAGCAGCCGCGGUAAU
Molecule: ribosomal RNA, 452 nt
Filed under: uncultured bacterium
Lineage: Bacteria
Description: bacterial SSU rRNA
Rfam family: Bacterial small subunit ribosomal RNA
Source: RNAcentral